This 42-nucleotide non-coding RNA is filed under the name Trypanosoma brucei brucei. The record is from RNAcentral. Lineage: Eukaryota; Euglenozoa; Kinetoplastea; Trypanosomatida; Trypanosomatidae.
AACAUGCAUAAGAUGUAGUGAAUCUAGUAAGAGUAAGAUAGU